RNAcentral lists this unclassified non-coding RNA (240 nucleotides) under Hevea brasiliensis (rubber tree). The record is from RNAcentral. Lineage: Eukaryota; Viridiplantae; Streptophyta; Magnoliopsida; Malpighiales; Euphorbiaceae.
GGACACAAGAAGAGUCCAUUUCGCUCAGCGUCUCUAGUGAGGGAUUGAUACCAAACAACACAAUACCUAUCUCCUCUUUGAUCUAAACGGAAUAUUACCCCAAAACUUUCACAAUUCAGUUCCUGGUGUUNNNNGUAGUUUUGGAGGUCAAUAAAAAGUUCAGGAGUACAAUCUGCUGCUGUAGCAUUAAUGGAGCAAAGUGUUGCUAUCGAGGAGAAUGAGGAUUCACGGAAUGGCCUU